CUAUAGUCGGGCUCAUUUUUCGCAAAUAUCUGCUCAAACCGUCGAUCCCCAUAUCUGCUUCUUUCUAGCCAUUUUCAGCCGAACCGUCAAAUCGAUUCGUCGGCGGGGGGAAUAGUGGUUCGGAGGCAAACGUCACUAGGCUGUGAUUUAAACGGACGGAGCAGUGAAUCACGCGGCGGCUGAUUUAAGGACCCCCCCCUUUUCGGCGAGGAUGGUACGGCUCAUGAUUCCUGGGACCCGCUGAGCUCUGCGCGAGAGCAACCUGUGGCAGCGCUGCGCAGAGCUGUCACCGCUGCCGCUCUGCGCGCGCUGGGCUCGUGCAAUUCGCCUUCAUUUGUCAGCGAUAAAAGAUGUUUCUGUGAAGGUUCCGUCUUUUAUAGUCAUCCGGGCUCUAAAGAUAAAACCAGCGACUGCCCAGUGCAUCUGAGGCGUCACACACCGGAGUGCGUUUACUGAGAAAGUUCUAAAUUGUUACGUGGAAUUCAGCUGAUGACAAUCACGAGUCCACACAGAUACAUUAAAUACACAAAGCAUUCAGUAUUAUUAGUGACAGACGGGCUGAAACCCUCCUCUUUAAUGGCCUCUAUCAACCAGGAAGUUUAUUCUUUAGGCAUUCCUACCUAGUCAUGUUUCCAAAAAAUAAAAUAACUGUAAAUAAGUAAAUGUAAAUGAUUCAUUGUCAGAUACCAUGAUUCUUUAAUAUAAUGUAGAAAACUCAGAUAGUUGCUUUGCAUCAGAAGCUAAAAUCCUAAUUAUAGCCACAGCAACCAGAGCUACAGCCAACUGUUUCCCACAAAGACUUCAUUCGUGGUGCACUGUACCCACUGGUAUGUGGGUGUAGGACAAAGGUGUGUGUGUGUGUGUGUGUGUGUGUGUGUCGCUAGACUGUAACAGUGUGAUAAAGGCCUACACAUUCUAUCCUGUGUUUCUUGUCUUUAGGAUGGUGGGAUUGUUCUGCAACAAAUGCAUGUAGACAGAGCUGAAUGACACACGUCCUUUGUGCUGGUGCUGGUGCUGCACGCAGCGUGUUGGUGCAGUGGAGCAUGGUGUUGUUAGUUUCGCAGUCUGAGUCACCUGGGGCUACACAUGUCCUGUUCUGUCAACCACUGUCACAGGCCACAGGGUAGAGCGGGCGGCGGCAGGUGGCGAUGCUCUCGGUGAGCAGCGCUGCAGAGAGGAGGAGGUGCGGAGGUUUACCGUUUGCUGCUUGGGAUUUGUCUGUUUCACACAUACUGAGAGGUGGUAGCAGAAGUGACGGCAGCCUGAGAACAAAGACCUGUAAUCAGGAACUUCAGCGCAGGUGCCGUCACUGCUGCUUUUCUGAAAGGCUCUGUUUCACACUGAUAGUGCUCGGAGAAUAAUAUCAAUAUUUCUAAUCUCACAAAACAGGAUAUGAAAGAGAGCUGCCUUACCACUCAUUUGUGUGUCCUGUCUGUAGCAGCUUGAUUAAAUCCUCAGGCAUCAAACUGAAGCAUCUGACAUGCGUGUAUGUCAGCCUCUUUUUACAACACACAGCUCCUAACUAUAGAAAAAGUACUUGUGGCAUCUCUACUCUGUGAUCAAUAACAGGAUCUUUAGCUUAGGGCCAAAUAGAAUUAAGAAUUGCUUUAGGAUAAUGACAGUAUCGACCAGCGCUCAGUAAAGCGUUUCAGUGUGGCAGGUUAAUUCCUUCAAUGAAGGUGCACAGGGAGCCGGUCUGAGUCAGGUUUAACGCUCAGAGUAAUUCUCUCCAGCGUUGUGUGCUGCAACUAUUUUCCCCUCAAUACCACACGAGCACGUAGGACUACGGCAAAGCAAGUCAGGGCUACGGUGCCUGAAAUGGGGAAAGUUGGAACGGGAUACGGAGGAAAUUCUCCCGUCCACUGGUGCCUGCACAUGUGAAGCCCUGAAUGGAUUACAGGUCAUUAUUACAGGGAGGUAUAUGAGAUCAGGCUACGAAGCCUUACAGCUGACACGCUAAUAAAACAUAAUAACACAGUUACAGGUUAGAAAACCUGCUUUGGAAGCAAUCCUUGUUUUCUUUUUCUUGCUAAGAACAUAAGGAAUCAGACGUUGCUGCUGCUUCUGGCUCUGUGCUCGGUUUGAAGCAGGGAACUUCCGCCGCGAAUGAAUGCAAGUCAUUUACUCUGCUCAUUAUGUGAGAUGUUGAGAUGUUUUGAUGUUUGGAGAUGAAAAUGCUUUGAGAUGAAAUAUUCAUUUUUUUAGCUGACUUAAUUAUGUAUGUGUCCACUGUCAAGUUGGAAACGGCUGCUCCUGUGAGGGAUGUUUCAGGCGUACCCAGAAUACAUUACCUCCUUAUUACAGGGGAUUGCCUGGAUACACUCAUAUGCAGCCUUAUGGAAAUAUUAAAUGAAGAGGCUGCACACCUCAGUGGACACACUGCAUAAGCACGAGUGCCUCCUGUUUGUGACUCAUAAUGCAAAUGUUCAGCUGAUUGUCGCUUUUUGAGUCAUUUAUUACAUCAGUCAUUGUUUUAAAGAAAGACGUUUGGUAAUUUAUGACAACAGAGCUGUUGAGCUGUUUGAUCUAGAUAUAGUGAUCUAAGGAGUUGAUAUGCGGAAUCUUCUACAAUUUCACUGUUCUACAGUGUAUUAAUGUUCUACAUUAUUUCUCUGACUUCACAGCAGUAAACCUGGGGGUGACCCUAAAGAGGUCAAAGUAAUAGGUCAACUGCUUUGGGAAGACUCAUAAUGAGAGUAAGAUGAGAACACAGUCACAUCUACGGAGGAAACACAGGUUUGCAGCCUGUUAGAACAUAAUGAAUGUCAGAGUAAAGAAUAAAUAAGAUGUUUGGUUUUGCAGGGAAUGAAUCACAGACUGUGUCUCGAGUCCCUGAUGAUCGUCUGAAAACCUCUGAGUGACUCCAGGAAACAACCCCAUCAGACUGUGAGCUAACCCUCUAGCAUCACAUUCACACUGCAGACACGAGAGUGAGCUGAUCUUCUGAUCUCUCAGAAAGAAGGUAUUUAGUUCACAAAAUGUCAAAGGAUUCCUUUUAACAUUUAUUCCCCUGGUGAGAAGGGAAACUGGGGAAAACAGAUUUCACUGUUAAACUUUGUGUCUGUGCUUCGUUGCUCCGUGGGCCUGUUCUCACUUCUAAACCAUUAAGACCUUCGACCGCUCUCCAGUUGUAACACUCCUCCAGAUGUCACCUGGGGUUUGAACGUGUGAUAUUCUCCAUCUGAAUGUAAUGAGGUGACAUCAAUAGCGGGGUUUAAAGGCAUCACUUAAAGGACAACGUCUACAGGACUCCGUCGUGUGUCAUUUUCAUUAGAAACUGUCUCUGCAUGUUUAGUUUUGAAGCCGGCUCCCGUGUUAUUAUUGCAGUCAUGUUCCGUGCUGGAAUGUCGUCAUGCGUCUCUCUUUUCACUCCUGAACCCUCACCAGUGCACUGUGGCCCUUUCAGCGCCUCUCUCUGGCUCUGGUAAAGGUGUGGGUGGCCACAGUUGGACCCUGAAGUGGCCACACGGACCCUGAGCUGUGAAAUUACAUUAAGCCGCCAGCCUAAGUCCCAUGGCAAUCCUCCCUUAAUGAAAACUGUUUCACAGUGCAGGCUGCUCGGAGCACCGGAGACAAUCUGUUUGACAAGCGGGACUUAAUGUGGAGAGGCUGAGUAAAGGGACACCGUAGUAAUUGGCUGCCAUUUUGGAUGUUCAUUUAUAGAGCUCCGCCACUAUUCAUGUGCAGAGAAAAAUGUUCUGAUGUUCCAUGAGUGUGUGUGGGAAAAGAGUAGGUGUGCGGUAUUCAGCAGAGGCCUAUCACAGAUUGAAACAUAAGCACACACACACAAACAUAUACCACCCACGCACCAGUCACUCACCAGCCUCAGCAUUGUACCACUUUCAGAUGUGUUGCCUUGCAAUGGAAAAUUAGAUGUUUAGAUUCUUAUCCGUGCUCAGGGGAAUUAUCAAAGGUCACUCAUUCAUCGGCACAAAGUCAGGUGAAGUGGACACAAAUGGAAAUUUCUGAUUGAAGACGUGACACAACGAAAGUUAAAACGUUUCUACCCCGAGUGGCCGGUGGAGACUAAAACCGAGCUUUAAGAGGAAAAGUAUAAGGUAUACGGGCAUCGUGAGGAGAUACGUGAGUCAGAAUGUUGCUCCAUGAGUGACUAAUGUGUCAACUUAAAGAAGACGUGAUAUGACGUGUUUUUGAUACAAAGCCGUUUUUAAUGCGUCGUGAAACACACAGAGCGCACAUCUGACAUCGUUACCAUUACCUGCUUAAUAAGAGCACGCUGUCCGGCUCGACACGUCACCUCACCACAGACUGGUUUCAACUGUGAGAGAAGAAGCCUCCAAAAAUAACGCCUGCACAGACCGAGCGCGAUCACAAACGGUGUUCCAGCAGAUGAAGAGUAAAACGCGCCCGGCGCUCCAAUAAACACAGAGCAAACUUUCAGCGGGCCUUUCCACAGGACGGCACCUCCUCCAGGACGCCGGAGCCCGACUGGAGCCCGACUGGAGCCCGACUGGAGCCCUGAGGUCUGCGUGUGUGAGCGCGAGUUAAUGCACGGGUCUGCGCAGCCAAAACAAGUAUGUAUGUUGGCUGCAGCGCAGACAGGCAGCGUUACGUUCAGCCGCAGGUCAGCGGCGCUAGGCCCUGUGGAAUCAUGGGAGUGCGCUCCCCUCCCCCGCCGAGCACAGCGCCUUCUGCCAGGUCUCAUCGGAUGCAGGUUCGUUUACUCAUCAGGUAGAGCAAAUAUAGUAAAGGGUCAUUUUACUACUGGGCUUUGAAGAAAGUGAUGCAUGAGCAGUGUUUGUCCCCAAUGAUACGACAGAUGUUUAUCUGGAUGAUGCAACUAAAGCUUACACACAUGUUUCUACAAUCUGCAGGACCAAGAUUUCACCAGGACUGGCUUCAGUUUCAAAUAUUAGAGCUUCUCGUGAAAUCCUGUGCAGUCAUUUGGUGAUUAUGGUGCAUCUGUUUUUUUGCAGUUUAACGUUAAAGAGUUGGAUCAGCUCAAAGUAAGUGCACAUUUACACACUCAUGAGCAGGACCGCCGUGGCUGCAGCUUCCUGCUCACGUCCGGCUCAUCUCUGUUUGGGGUGGGCCCUGCUCUGACCAGCAUAUCAGCUACUUCCUGUCCACAGAAACAAACCAGUGGAGGAAGACGGAAGCCGCUGGAGGAAAACCGCGAGAUUGACAUCUUACCCUCAAAACACUGCAUUGUUGGGUUUCAUGUGUUGAGCUGUUUGUUUGAGGAGUUCCCCCGCGGGGCCGUGUGACCCCGGGAACGUUCUCAUGCUCUGUUUAUUUGUCAGAGUGUUCCUGAAGGUGGAACGGUGGACGGCGGCGCCUUUUAGCUUAGCGCCGCUUCUCUCCUUCCACUGUAUCAGACGCAGGGCAGCCUCCACCUGAGCACGUGUGCCUUUUAGCCGCGGCUGAGCAGAGCGGCGUGGGGGGUUGGUGGUCUGUGGAAGGGGAGGGGGACCUCACAUUUAGCUGCUGUCUCCUGGGAGAGAUUAAGCAGUUUAGUCUGUGCUGCGUCUCUGUCACUGCCUCCUGCUUCUCCUCUCUGCUCGGAGCAGGGCAGCGUGCGCCUCUUCUGUCAUCCUCCUUUUGCACUUUCUGUUCCUCUCUUCUACUCUCGUUUCCUCUUUGCGCCUUCGAUCGCUGGCUCUGACACUCUGGGCCCUUUUGCUCUCAUUCUGUUCCGCGCUCCUUUUCCGACCCGCUGGCAUCCAGCUGACGGCCCGAGCUGACGCCUCAGAUGGCAGACAGCUAGUGGGCUGUGGGUGGAAGCGUGGGACCUCCCACUCACCCAUAGGCUGCUUGGACUGGCCUGUCCCACUGCGCUGCUCUGGUGUGGAGCACCGUGGAGCUCAACCACUACGCCCAUUAAUCUCCUAAACGAUCCUGGACCUAAGAGGAUCAAUACUCAUUUUCAGGGAGCAGCAUGAUCCCUUAAUGUAGUGGAGGUUGGCUGCUUAUCCCUCACUCUCCCCCUGCCGACCCUCCGUUUCCACUGCCGUAGGAGGAGCAGGAGUCAGCCUUUCAUUUCAGUUGAGACCAUAUCUUGGUUUAUAGUAUCGCUCAGGUCUGUGGGCUCUUCGUGAUCACACGAGCCUCUGUAUUUAUUAGUUCAAGGUGUUAGUUUUAGUGUGAAGUAGCUGUUUUUUAGAUUUUAGAUUAGAUCAGCGUCUUGUAAUUGACUCGUUUCGGAUCACAGAGGGAUCCUCAGGAAUCCAGCAUGUAUCUAACAGCAGAUCAGCUCUGUGAACUUCCCAUCUGCUCUAGUACAAAAUACACAGAGAUCUGCCAGCGAAAAUAAAUCAGCGGCUUUACACUGAAACACACGUCUUCAGGCUAUUUUGUAUUAGUAGUGGUCGUAUAAUUGUUAUUCUUUGUUUUCCACAGAUGCUGAAAAAUGACUUCAUGCUAAUAGCAGCAUGAUCCAAGGAAAAUGGGAAAGAUCGGACUUUCCGUUGGAUAACAAGCGUCCGAUUUUCCAGGCUCCGUGCACAGACGAGCACACGGUUAGCUGAGCGUCUCAUCAUUGAUCUGCGCUGAUGCAGGGAGGUGCACGUCGUCCCGGUCAGCCAGCCUGUCUGAUGUAAAUUUGGAGGUGUUGUUUGUGCUAAAGCUAUUACUGCCCUGAGACCUGGAAAACUCUGCUGCUACUCAAUUAUUUAGCCCUUUUCUAUGUAAACAGGCACAGACUGAUUAUGAGAGAAUGGGACCUGGACACAGGUCCCCCUCAUAUGCAGUAGGACCUCCAGAUGCACCAUUUGUACAUUCUUCCUACAUCUGUGCUCAUUGUGUGUCUCUUCUGUAGGUUAAGUGUGUGUCCUUUUGGUGUGUCUGCUGCUCCGGGGUAAUUUUACAUACAUUAACUGAGCUCUCUGGCAUCACACAUGUAACUUCACACCAAGGCCUCUGACCUCUCGCUCCCUCAGGGCUCAGUGUGAUAAGUGGUGUACGUCUGUGAUUGGACGCAGUCUGAACCUGCUGAUUGUGCUGCAUGUGUGUGUCCUCUUCAUCAUCGCUGCAGUGAGCUCGACUCCGGAGAACAGCAGGGUCUUUCUUUAUGUGGAGGAUUGAAUCAGUGAUGACAGUCUUAUGACCUCUUCCUCUCUCUCUCUCUCUCUCUCUCGCUCUCUUCCUCACACACACACACACACACACACACACACACACACGGAUUGUUAUGUGAAUCUCAACAAAAUGGACGUUUGCCAAUUAAACUUUGUUACCUGCGAUCUAUGUCACAAUCAUCUAAUUUGAAUAUUUUUUUCGGGAAAUCAACACGAAUAAAUAAAGUUCAUGAUCU
This is a long non-coding RNA of Betta splendens (Siamese fighting fish), 7273 nucleotides long. RefSeq lists it as uncharacterized. NCBI's taxonomy places the organism in Eukaryota, Metazoa, Chordata, Actinopteri, Anabantiformes, Osphronemidae. The record is from RefSeq and is a predicted model, not a curated record. The transcript is spliced from 3 exons.